AGAUCUUUGUGGGCUACACUCGGCCUUGUCUCAGGAUGAGGUCCUGAGCCCUAGGACCAUGCCUCAGGACCUGGCAUGAUGACUCCUUGCUGUCCCCAGUCCACCUGGCCAUGCUGCUGCUCCAGUUUCAACUGUUCUGCCUGUGGCUAUGGAAUCCUGACCUGUUCACCGGACGUGCUACCUGUCCCAGACCUAUUAUUUGACCAUGAAAGAACGGUUAGUGCAUCAUGCCAAACUGACCACCUGGUGCCAGAGUGUUCCUGUGCUGCGGUGGAGAAGAGGUCCAGCGGGACCAUCACCAAAGAGCUCAGGGCCCAGCUAGAUUGCGCUCAGAACCAUCAGUAUACAAUCGAGUCCUGCCCCUAUACGCCACAGAUGGAGCUGACGGAGAGUGAGAUCAGUGAAGACCAUAACUCGCUGUAUGGACCUGAGAGCUCAGAAUCACAAUCAUCUCAGUGUGAGCCAAGAUAUACUAUCGAUCACUUUGGGGGAGCGGGAUGGUGUUCUGAAAAUGGAGAAGGAGCAGGCCAUUCAACAGCCAAUUCAAAGAUACACCCAUCCAUAAAGGGAAUCCGAGUGGAAUUGUUUUUCCACAUAUAUAUAUUUUUUUACCCAUUUCAAUGGAUGUGCUACCUUGUCCCAGUUCUGCUUUUUCGACUCUCUCUCUCAACCUAUGAACGCUCAGCUAGGAAAAGCCAAUUGACAUUUGCUCCUGAGGUGUUGAACUGUUACACCCUCUGUAAUCACUGUGGUUAUUAUUUCUGAUGUAAAAAGGGCUUUUGGACAAAUAUAUUUGAUUGAUUGAUUGUUUGCUGUGC
Oncorhynchus tshawytscha (Chinook salmon) is the source of this 818-nucleotide long non-coding RNA. Lineage: Eukaryota; Metazoa; Chordata; Actinopteri; Salmoniformes; Salmonidae. The record is from Ensembl.